GGUUCCGCAGCGGCGUAUGCAGCGCACACGCUCAGUUCAUAAGGUAUCGCUGUUCUUCGCGGUACACGAGCAAAACACAGCAACCUCUCGCGAGUGUAAAGGCGCCAGUAAGUAAUCGCUAAGCUGUCAGCUUCAAACUGGCAAAAACAGCAAGCAGCGACGGCCCACCGUGGGAAGUUCCCGCAGCAGCGCCGACGAUGAGUUGAGUGCCAAUGCAGUUCUUAAGCAACACGGAUCAGGAGAACAGCCGCACACCCGGCAAUGAGCAGGCAGAUUUGCUCCUCCUCCUGGCCCGACAGACGUCUGAUCUGAUUUUAUUUACACGAACCCCUGCCUAUAUGUAUGCGCAAAUGCUUGCCAUGAUUAACAAUGCAGAAAUGGUCACGACCAAUAAACAGCCGACGACGACGUUGAUCUAACAGGCACUGGAGCAUCCCAAAAGGAGCCCAAUCCCUACGGGUCUCCUGCUUCAGCUACUUCUCCCCUCUACAUCUCCUUUUUCUGUACACGAGUAUGCUUUUGCUGUCACCACCCUCCUGUUUUUUUUUUGUUUUUUUUUGCUUUUAUUGUUACCGCACUUGACUACGCGGUCACUCCUAGCUUCGUUGGGUCCAGCUGUUUUUGUUGUCAAACGCUGCCCCAGCAAUUUCUCUGCACGUACGCUGCAUGCCCUAUGUGCACGACCGCCGGAGGCUGUAACGCGUCCCUCCCGUCCAGAUGCAGCGGCGGACCGUCUUUGAGACAGUUGCAGUUUGCGGACAGACACAAAUGCCGAUCCUUCAGAAAAACAAGCAUACGUAAGUGCAGCAAAGCGGCACGCGUGGUUCCGAUCGACAAAGGUCCUUCAAACGAAUGAAUCCCUAGCAAAAAUUCUAAUAGAAGCUUGUAUUAGUCUAAUAAGUUUUUCUAUUAGAUGUAUUGGUCUUAUAAAAAUUUUUAUUAGCCUAAUAGAUGGAUGUAUUAGUCUAAUACAUUCUCCUAUUAGCCCUAUUAGUUUGUAUUAGUGAGCUGUAUAAGACUUGUAUUAGUCUAAUAGGUCUCGUAUAAGUUUUGGUCUGGCACCUAUUCGGCUAAUAGAAAUAUGGGUAUUUUGUUUAACAAGCUGGAUAUUUGUAUGUAAGUGUUCAACUGCAAAAUUGAUGACUCAAUUGGUUCAUCUAUUAGCCUUAUUAGUUUGUAUUGGUAUGUUAUAUAUGACUUGUUGAAAUUGAUAUUAGCCUAAUAGGUAGAUCGUACGGGCUUUUGUCCUGCACCUAUAUUAGGCUAAUAGAAAUAUGGUUAUUCUCUUAAACAAGCUAGGGCAUCAAGUAAAUGUUAAACCACAAAAUUUGUGACAUAAGGAUGACCUCUGGGUUACUAGCAUGUUUAUGGUGGCGCAUGUCAGGCAUGCAUCAUUCUUAUUCUGAAGAAGAUUUUCUCGCGCUGUGCAUAAAGUAUAUGUUUCACGAAAGAAAAGAGUACGGCAUCUAUUAAUAUGUGCCUCACAUUUUGGAAUUAACAUCACAGAGCUAUUGUGAUCUGCACAAUUUUCAUAAUAGCCUUGUUGCCCAUAUUGGCCAGACUUAAGGUUUUGAUCCUUGUUCCUUGUAAAUGCGACCAUCACUGAUUUCUUUCACAAUGCCAUCAUGAGUUUCAGGUUGCCUUCUCUUCAACGUGUCCAUUAAGCCCUAUGACACUGCUUUGUCAAAAAGCAUGACUUCAAUUUGUUUCUUGAGGUCCAAUGUAACAACAAAUUUUGACCAGAGAUUUCGGUGGUACAAUGUGGGCAUGAAAAAACCUUCUGACGAGGAUUCGAUAUCACAGCUUCGCAUGCUUGACAAAAAUAGUGACGCUUGACAAGGUCAUCCAUCCACUGCCUGCACGCUUUCCUUAGCAUCCAACUCGAAGUAGGAAGGACGGGCUUGCCCAGGAAAAGGUUAAUUAUUCCCACAAGCUUCUCCAUUCCUGUCCAGUUCAGUGCUACUGACACAGUGUACGCCAUAACAGUCAUGUCCGAGUUGGGAAGGCGUUCGCCAGAGAAGAUGAGACAAAAUUCACCAGCAUCACCUUCGCACCUAUAUGUAUCGCUGCAAUCUUCAGCGGAACCACUAGAUUCACUGUCAGACAGAUUGCUAGCGACGCCGCAGCUUUCUGCACGAUCACUUGCACUUCCACUUUGGUCGCUUGCAUCGUUGUCAGAAGCUUCACGGGGCGAGUCACUCACGCCGGUAUUUGCACUUGCGGCAGCACAGUUGACAAGAGGCGACUACUUGUGCGAAGGUGGCUUGGUGCACUGGCGGUUAUCCUGGUACCUCGAAGAUGUAGUACGUGAUAAUAAAUAAGCCGCCUCCGGUUCCAAAUAACGUUUCCUCCGCUCUGCAGUUUCAGACGUGCCGCCAUCAUGACGGAUAGCGCCUAAGUGCCUUUUAUCACUGCACCAUAUCCGAAAAAUGAAAAACCAAGUCAGGACUCGACUGAUUCAAUUUGACUGAGACCGCGACUAAAAGAACAACAAUGUUUGCUUGUUUGUUUUCUUGCUUUUUCCCUCUAUGGCGAUGGCGAUCCUACUGUCCCAUAUAGACGGUGUAUUUUAUUAACUACUCAUACAGUAUAAGAAAGCAAAAAAAAAAGCGAGAAAAAAAUUUUAACAUCGGAAAAAUUGAACAACAAAUUACACAGGCACGCAAACGCGUAUUUGGUUUGGAGUGUGAAUGAAACGUACUUACCGCUGGUGUCAUGCCAAAAGCAUAAACUUGCGCAAAGAGCUCAUACUUUUGUGAUUACUUUUAUUCCCGCGCAGAUUCAGUGAAUUUUUCCUCCGUAAUGGGAUUUGUGAGGAUUUUAGAAAUGUCCAAAUGGUGCAAACUAAAUUAGGAUUUCUAGGCGCAAACUCACUUCCCACCCCAUCAGCAUCGUCACCGCCAUCAGCUUUAACACGUGUGUUUCGCCGCUGGGCCUUCCGUCGCUGGGCCCAACGUUUCUUUCUCUGCGGUCUACGGCAAGCGAAGUUUGACAGCGCAGUUAUAUCACCACGUGUAAAACCUGCACAAUGUACGCUUAUGUGCGCUUCAAGGACGACGGCGUGAAGGUUGUCUGCACGAAGAAAGAAUUAAGAUAUUCUCUCCGUAUAGUAUCAAAGACUUCGACAACAAACAAUGGUACAGUGUACGCUGGGAUGACGAAAACAGCGGAUAUUUCAGAGCCCAGAUUAUGAAGUUGUUUGUAACCAAAGAGGAGGCUGAUGCUUCCGCGGAAAGCUCGAGCAAGAGAUUUUCCUGCCCCCAAAUGCCUAUGGACAGCAGUUUAGAAGGCGACACCGAAGCGAGUGGGGAAUCCUGCAGAAAGCACAAAAGAGAAAAACAAGUGCCAAAAUCUCGUGUGAAGGAUACCGAGGCACAGUUUAGGAAAAAACAGCUGGACCUUUUGUUUCCUCCUGAAGCAUGAAAGGGAGGAGAUUGUCUUCGGCAAGAAGUUGUGAGGCUGCGCAAGAUCUUCAAAGCAGAUUUCUUCAGCCACUCCUCGUCCAGAAGUAUCCAUUUAAGGAGGUUGACCUCGCGGUAAAAAUUGCGGACAUCAUGAAGGUACCGACGCCACCAACUCAGCAGCUAACACCACCACCUCAGCAGCCAAAUGAGGAAGGUUAACUGUAGAGGGCUCACCUCACUUGACGAUUUAAAUAAAGUGUGUUUGUGUUUGACAACUGCCUUUGUGUCAUAUGCAGUGACAUGCAUGCCGCUGCCGCAUGCUACGAGCAAAGCCUGCUCGCUGCCUGUGCAGGCACCUAUUGAUCUAAUAGAGGCUAUUAGUUUAUGCGUAUUAGCCUAAUACAGGCUAUUAGCUUAUGCCUAUAAGCCUAAUACAGGC
Rhipicephalus sanguineus (brown dog tick) is the source of this 3843-nucleotide RNA transcript. RefSeq lists it as uncharacterized. NCBI's taxonomy places the organism in Eukaryota, Metazoa, Arthropoda, Arachnida, Ixodida, Ixodidae. The transcript is spliced from 5 exons. The record is from RefSeq and is a predicted model, not a curated record.